This 253-nucleotide ribosomal RNA is filed under the name uncultured microorganism. Its description in RNAcentral is "partial 16S ribosomal RNA". It matches the Rfam family "Bacterial small subunit ribosomal RNA", at positions 524 to 776 of the family's 1533-position model. The record is from RNAcentral.
UACGUAGGGGGCAAGCGUUACCCGGAUUCACUGGGCGUAAAGGGGGCGUAGGCGGCCGUGUAAGUCCGGUGUGAAAUGCCACGGCUCAACCGUGGAACUGCGCUGGAAACUACACGGCUUGAGGACGGUAGAGGGAGACGGAACUGCUGGUGUAGGGGUGAAAUCCGUAGAUAUCAGCAGGAACGCCGGUGGGGAAGCCGGUCUCCUGGGCCGCUCCUGACGCUGAGGCCCGAAAGCUAGGGGAGCAAACAGG